CACUUAUCAAGAGAGACCGAGGGAACAGGCCCGACGACGUCCAGCAACCGCCAUUUGGAAAGGUGCUCCUUCCUGCAGAAUCUUGUAUUCUGAGAGAUAAGCG
This 103-nucleotide non-coding RNA is filed under the name Bacillus sp. (in: firmicutes). RNAcentral describes it as "Bacillus sp. SAM-I sequence". It matches the Rfam family "SAM riboswitch aptamer (S box leader)". Rfam says of the family: The SAM riboswitch is found upstream of a number of genes which code for proteins involved in methionine or cysteine biosynthesis in Gram-positive bacteria. The SAM riboswitch acts at the level of transcription termination control. Lineage: Bacteria; Bacillati; Bacillota; Bacilli; Caryophanales; Bacillaceae. The record is from RNAcentral.